UGGCAUGACUUCAGUCCAACAUAUGGUAUCUUGAUCGCGGUAUGUCUCUGAGCAUUUUUCGAAGGGUGAUUUCUAUAUGAUGUGCAUGGUCCUAUGGUCCAUUUGAUAGCAUAGGAAUGACAUUGUGUGGAAUGAUUGUCAAGUGCCUGUCCAAUCAUGUGUUCAUAUUGCUCGCACUUUUUUGCAUAAUUGGCAAGUAGCUUAGGUUAGAGGUACAACUAGAUCUACUAUUGCUGCUUCUUCAUGUUAGAUGCCUCGGAGAUAAUUUAGGCCUUCAUUAAGAUAUUUGAAGCGCAACUGUGAUGCUGCUGUGCUUCGAAGUAAAGAUUAUUUGGGAGUUGGAUGGGUUAUUAGAGAUGCUUCUAGUUCUAUGUUGCAUGUGUG
This 384-nucleotide unclassified non-coding RNA is filed under the name Hevea brasiliensis (rubber tree). Lineage: Eukaryota; Viridiplantae; Streptophyta; Magnoliopsida; Malpighiales; Euphorbiaceae. The record is from RNAcentral.